Molecule: ribosomal RNA, 468 nt
Filed under: uncultured bacterium
Lineage: Bacteria
Description: partial 16S ribosomal RNA
Rfam family: Bacterial small subunit ribosomal RNA
Source: RNAcentral
GACGAACGCUGGCGGCGUGCUUAACACAUGCGAGUCGAACGGAAAGGCCCUGCUUUUGUGGGGUGCCCGAGUGGCGAACGGGUGAGUAACACGUGAGUAACCUGCCCUUGACUUUGGGAUAACUUCAGGAAACUGGGGCUAAUACCGGAUAGGAGCUCCUGCUGCAUGGUGGGGGUUGGAAAGUUUCGGCGGUUGGGGAUGGACUCGCGGCUUAUCAGCUUGUUGGUGGGGUAGUGGCUUACCAAGGCUUUGACGGGUAGCCGGCCUGAGAGGGUGACCGGCCACAUUGGGACUGAGAUACGGCCCAGACUCCUACGGGAGGCAGCAGUGGGGAAUAUUGCACAAUGGGCGGAAGCCUGAUGCAGCAACGCCGCGUGCGGGAUGACGGCCUUCGGGUUGUAAACCGCUUUCGCCUGUGACGAAGCGUGAGUGACGGUAAUGGGUAAAGAAGCACCGGCUAACUACGUG